AACGAACGCUGGCGGCAUGCCUAACACAUGCAAGUCGAACGAGACCUUCGGGUCUAGUGGCGCACGGGUGCGUAACGCGUGGGAAUCUGCCCUUGGGUUCGGAAUAACAGUUAGAAAUGACUGCUAAUACCGGAUAAUGUCUUCGGACCAAAGAUUUAUCGCCCAGGGAUGAGCCCCGCGUAGGAUUAGCUAGUUGGUGAGGUAAAGGCUCACCAAGGCGACGAUCCUUAGCUGGUCUGAGAGGAUGAUCAGCCACACUGGGACUGAGACACGGCCCAGACUCCUACGGGAGGCAGCAGUGGGAAUAUUGGACAAUGGGCGAAAGCCUGAUCCAGCAAUGCCGCGUGAGUGAUGAAGGCCUUAGGUUGUAAAGCUCUUUACCCGGGUAUGAUAAUGACAGUACCGGGAGAAUAAGCCCCGGCUAACUCCGUGCCAGCAGCCGCGGUAA
This 448-nucleotide ribosomal RNA is filed under the name uncultured bacterium. RNAcentral describes it as "bacterial SSU rRNA". It matches the Rfam family "Bacterial small subunit ribosomal RNA", at positions 29 to 523 of the family's 1533-position model. The record is from RNAcentral.